GAAUUUGAAAGGAGGUUUGUUGCUGGCUUGUACACCCAGGCAUGUGCACACUCCAAUCUCAUCCAUCUUACACCUGUGUGCACCCUUGCGUGGGUCCGUCGGCUUUGCGGUCGUUCGGGCUUGCGUUUUUUCUAUAAACUUUUAUGUAUGUAACAGAAUGUCUUGAAUGCUAUAAACGCAUCUUAUACAACUUUCAACAACGGAUCUCUUGGCUCU
This 216-nucleotide unclassified non-coding RNA is filed under the name rhizosphere metagenome. RNAcentral describes it as "partial ribosomal RNA internal transcribed spacer region". The record is from RNAcentral.